UAGGGAAUCUUCGGCAAUGGGGGCAACCCUGACCGAGCAACGCCGCGUGAGUGAAGAAGGUUUUCGGAUCGUAAAACUCUGUUGUUAGAGAAGAACGUGUGUGGGAGUGGAAAAUCCAUGCAGUGACGGUAUCUAACCAGAAAGGGACGGCUAACUACGUGCCAGCAGCCGCGGUAAUACGUAGGUCCCGAGCGUUGUCCGGAUUUAUUGGGCGUAAAGCGAGCGCAGGUGGUUUAUUAAGUCUGGUGUAAAAGGCAGUGGCUCAACCAUUGUAUGCAUUGGAAACUGGUAGACUUGAGUGCAGGAGAGGAGAGUGGAAUUCCAUGUGUAGCGGUGAAAUGCGUAGAUAUAUGGAGGAACACCGGUGGCGAAAGCGGCUCUCUGGCCUGUAACUGACACUGAGGCUCGAAAGCGUGGGGAGCAAACAGGAUUAGAUACCCUGGUAGUCCACGCCGUAAACGAUGAGUGCUAGAUGUAGGAAGCUAUAAGUUUUCUGUAUCGCAGCUAACGCAAUAAGCACUCCGCCU
This 527-nucleotide ribosomal RNA is filed under the name uncultured bacterium. Its description in RNAcentral is "bacterial SSU rRNA". It matches the Rfam family "Bacterial small subunit ribosomal RNA", at positions 355 to 874 of the family's 1533-position model. The record is from RNAcentral.